Molecule: ribosomal RNA, 231 nt
Filed under: uncultured bacterium
Lineage: Bacteria
Description: partial 16S ribosomal RNA
Rfam family: Bacterial small subunit ribosomal RNA
Source: RNAcentral
CCGGAUGCGGAUCUCGAAAGCCUGUCCCAGUUCGGACUGGAGUCUGCAACCCGACUCCACGAAGUUGGAUUCGCUAGUAAUCGCGCAUCAGCCAUGGCGCGGUGAAUACGUUCCCGGGCCUUGUACACACCGCCCGUCAAGCCAUGGGAGCCGGGGGCGCCUGAAGUCCGGGACCGCGAGGACCGGCCUAGGGCGAAACUGGUAACUGGGGCUAAGUCGUAACAAGGUAAC